This 546-nucleotide ribosomal RNA is filed under the name Triticum aestivum (bread wheat). Its description in RNAcentral is "partial small subunit ribosomal RNA". Lineage: Eukaryota; Viridiplantae; Streptophyta; Magnoliopsida; Poales; Poaceae. The record is from RNAcentral.
AUGCUCGUCCGUGCCCGCUGCGCCUACUGCUGCUCGCCGCGCCCGCUUCUCGUCGCUCCUGUUGCUAGCCGCGCUCGCUGCUCGACGCCGUUGGUGCUCGCCGCACCCGCCACUGCUGCUCGCCGCGCCCGCUGCUCGACGCCGUUGUUGCUCGCCCCGCCCGCCACUGCUGCUCGUCGCGCCCGCUGCUCGUUGUGCCUGCUGCUCGCCGCACCUGUUGCCGCUGUUCGAGCCACCAUGGCUGAGGCAGAGGUUGCCGCCGCCGUCGUUGCCGCGCGGAGGUUGUGCCCGAGGCCACCAACGCUUGACCUGCCCCACCAGGGAGCACAGAUACAAGGUACGGAAGGUAGCGGUGGCUCUGUUCUUGCCGGAUCCAGACGAGGGCGGGCUAAUGGCGGCGACGGGGUGCGAAGGUCGCGGCAGGGGCCGCCGCCCGUCCCUGUUCUUGCGGGAUCUGGGCUCGAAUUGGAGCGGAGGAGCACGAAUCUGAGGUGCGGAAGGGGGCAGCGGCUCGAUUUUUGCCGGAUCCAGGCGAGGGCUGGUUAA